RNAcentral lists this ribosomal RNA (489 nucleotides) under uncultured bacterium. RNAcentral describes it as "partial 16S ribosomal RNA". It matches the Rfam family "Bacterial small subunit ribosomal RNA", at positions 28 to 507 of the family's 1533-position model. The record is from RNAcentral.
GAUGAACGCUGGCGGCGUGCCUAAUACAUGCAAGUCGAGCGAACAGAUGAGGAGCUUGCUCCUCUGACGUUAGCGGCGGACGGGUGAGUAACACGUGGAUAACCUCCCUAUAAGACUGGGAUAACUUCGGGAAACCGGAUCUAAUACCGUAUAAUCUAUUGAACCGCAUGGUUCAAUAGUGAAAGACGGUUUUGCUGUCACUUAUAGAUGGAUCCGCUCCGCAUUAGCGAGGUGGUAGGGUGACGGCUUACCAAGGCUAUGAUGGGUAGCCGGCCUGGGAGGGGGACAGGGAACAUAGGGACGGAGAUACGGCCCAGACUGCUACGGGAGGCAGCAGUGGGGAAAAUUGCACAAUGGGGGCAAGACUGAUGCAGCGACGCCGAGUGAGGGAUGGAGGCCUUAGGGUUGUGAACCUCUUUCGCUAAUGGUCAAGCCGCAACAAUGGUUGUGGUGAGGGUAGUGGGUAAAGAAGCGCCGGCUAACUACGUG